Molecule: ribosomal RNA, 654 nt
Filed under: uncultured bacterium
Lineage: Bacteria
Description: bacterial SSU rRNA
Rfam family: Bacterial small subunit ribosomal RNA
Source: RNAcentral
GAAAGAUGGCUUUGGCUAUCACUCUGGGAUGGACCUGCGGUGCAUUAGCUAGUUGGUAAGGUAACGGCUUACCAAGGCGAUGAUGCAUAGCCGAGUUGAGAGACUGAUCGGCCACAAUGGAACUGAGACACGGUCCAUACUCCUACGGGAGGCAGCAGUAGGGCAUCUUCCACAAUGGGCGCAAGCCUGAUGGAGCAACACCGCGUGAGUGAAGAAGGGUUUCGGCUCGUAAAGCUCUGUUGUUGGAGAAGAACGUGCGUGAGAGUAACUGUUCACGCAGUGACGGUAUCCAACCAGAAAGUCACGGCUAACUACGUGCCAGCAGCCGCGGUAAUACGUAGGUGGCAAGCGUUAUCCGGAUUUAUUGGGCGUAAAGCGAGCGCAGGCGGUUGCUUAGGUCUGAUGUGAAAGCCUUCGGCUUAACCGAAGAAGUGCAUCGGAAACCGGGCGACUUGAGUGCAGAAGAGGACAGUGGAACUCCAUGUGUAGCGGUGGAGUGCGUAGAUAUAUGGAAGAACACCAGUGGCGAAGGCGGCUGUCUGGUCUGCAACUGACGCUGAGGCUCGAAAGCAUGGGUAGCGAACAGGAUUAGAUACCCUGGUAGUCCAUGCCGUAAACGAUGAGUGCUAGGUGUUGGAGGGUUUCCGCCCUUCA